Molecule: RNA transcript, 1907 nt
Organism: Mauremys mutica (yellowpond turtle)
Lineage: Eukaryota; Metazoa; Chordata; Testudines; Geoemydidae
Gene: FLACC1
Gene name: flagellum associated containing coiled-coil domains 1
Exons: 18
Source: RefSeq, a predicted model, not a curated record
UGUCUAGGGAGAAGCAAAGAUCUUGAUAAGAAACAGAACCUACCAGGGCUGCUUUGUUUGAUAAACUUCCAGGGGUUCCAGUCUCUGGAAACGUCUGGACCCAAAGGAUAAAGCCAGCUGCUGUAUGAGAGUAACACAAAAUCCUUUUGCUCAGCCAGGGAUCCUGCUAUGCAAACAUGUCUCAUUCCCCGUUUUUAUACUGUGCCUGUUGGGACCCUUGGAAUGUGAGGGGUAAAAGGCUAAUAAAGACCAUGCCAGGCUUACCGAAUCAGAAAGCCAGGUCCUCCUCACUAGGCAUGAUCUUGAAAAACCAAAAUAGUUUCCUGUUUGCUCUAAAACCUCCCAGCACAUCCAAAGGGAUGUUGCCCCACAGAAAAUAUGGAUAUCGACUACGAAGCAGAGAACCACCUGAUGCUUCAGAGGAGUUCAUAGAAAUCUCACCUGGUUAUACCUUGACUCGAAGUAAAGAACAUCUCUCCGUCACGCUAGGGGAGGAAUUUUUUGAAAGAAAAACUGCUGAAGAACCGGCCCCCCACUUUGUUCCCAGAAGCCCAGUGAAACUUGAGACGGAGGAUGUUAUUACUGACUUAGAGGAACAGAUUGCUGAGCUGACAGACAUGAUGGAGCAACUGCGCAGAGAUCACCAGGCCUCCCGCAAACUGUUGGAGAAGGAUAUGGAAGAAAAAUGCAAUGAGAUGCAACAGGAGCAUGAGAAUAAGAUCAGGGAACUCCAAGAAGCUCACUGUGCUGAGCUCCAGGCCUUGCAAGUGCAGUACAAGAAAGAACUGAGGACUGAGAGGGCCUCUGCACAAGAGAAAAUGGAGGGGAUGCAGAAGGAAUACAAGUAUCUGAAGAAUGCAUUCCGAAUGUACCAGGACAGUGUUUCUGAUGAAAUGGAGGAGAAGUGGCUGAGAAGGCAGGCUGACUGGAAGAAGAAUGAGAGGACUGAGCGGGAGAAGGCACUGUUAAAGCAAAAGCAGGAAUUGAUGAAGAAAUUUGAGAUGGAGAGAGAGCAUCUAAAGAAAUCACAUCAGAGUGGUAACUCCAUGAUGAAUAAACUCCCACAGCAGGGAAGAGAGGAGUUUAUUAAACAGCACCAGGAAGAUGUGGAGAAAAUAAAAGAAUUGCAAAACAUCAAGGAGUCUCUGGAAGCCGAUUUGAAGGAGAAGGACCAGAUUCUCAAGGCUCUCACCACAACGAUGCAGAACGCUCAGGUGGAGCUUAAGAAAGAGAAAAGCAACCUGCUGGAGCUGGAGAAGAACAUUCAACAGAAAAUCUCGGCAGUUGAACUAAAACACCAGCUCAAUAUCACUUCCUUGGCAGAUGAAAAUGCUGUUCUGAGACGCAAACUGAUCACAAAGAGCGAAGAAGCAUUUAACGAAAGAGUCCGGCGAAAGUCAGUACUGCUCUAAUGGGAAUGUGACCUUGUUACUAAGGGAAACUUGCUGAUGAUGGAGAAACUGAUUCACCACCAUGUUCCACCUGAGACUGGUGCCCUGAGCUAAAGGACGGAGACCAGUCCUGGAGCCUGCAGCAACAACAAUGCACCACCUCCACAGGAUUCCCAUGGGGCACUAACUAACGAUUGCUGAACUACGUAUUGGAAUCACUACGACUACUCCUCAAGAGCAGCUGCCUCUGGAAGGAAAACAGGCAAAGGGGUCUCAACAGCAAAAAGUGCAGUGGAACGUAGGCAGGCAGAGCAACAGUGCCACACAGGAAUCGGCUCAUGCCUGAGCAUUCAUCUGACUCAGCAGAAGCAACCGAGACCUCAGUUCCAUCUCUCAUCAAAAGAUGAUUCCUCCAGCAGAGCAGAGCCCCUAUCUCCAUAUUGGAUCUGACGUGACUUUUGUGUAUUUUUCUUUGUAAUGAGAGAAAAUGAAGUGUUCAAUCCACUACCCCUUCCG